GGAAGGAACGUUUUCUGUUACAUCUUUGACAAUUGACAUUAAUGCAACUUUUUUCGGUAGAAACGAUUUUUUUUAUUUUUUUAGACUUUUUUAUUCGUAAUAUCGGUAGGUUUGACAAUUUUAACCGUUUAACCGCUUAACGGAUCAUAAAUUUAUUGAAUUUUAUAGUUAUUAACCGCAUUGAUUAGGUAUUUUGAGAUUACAGUUAUAACCAUUAACUGCUAGGAAUGGGUAAGGUUAAAUUAUGGAUUUUGUAGUAACCGUACCAUAAUCGUAACGAUACCCAUAAUCAUCGCCGACCCGCUAUAUAGCCAACAUUUAACCGUCAAUACAUGCGCCGCGCCCAAUAAGCUCACUAGAUUAGCUAAAUGUACAUGAAAUUUAUCAAGAAAAUUAAAUCUAAUUC
RNAcentral lists this long non-coding RNA (406 nucleotides) under Linum usitatissimum (flax). Its description in RNAcentral is "long non-coding RNA (LUSI_LNC006633)". Lineage: Eukaryota; Viridiplantae; Streptophyta; Magnoliopsida; Malpighiales; Linaceae. The record is from RNAcentral.